This 64-nucleotide transfer RNA is filed under the name Blaberus sp. B007. Its description in RNAcentral is "tRNA-His". Lineage: Eukaryota; Metazoa; Arthropoda; Insecta; Blattodea; Blaberidae. The record is from RNAcentral.
ACUUGGAUAGUUUAAUUAAAAUAUUGAUUUGUGGGGUCAAUGAUAUAAGUACUUAUUCUAAGUC